RNAcentral lists this ribosomal RNA (1445 nucleotides) under uncultured bacterium. RNAcentral's name for it is "bacterial SSU rRNA". It matches the Rfam family "Bacterial small subunit ribosomal RNA". The record is from RNAcentral.
AGAGUUUGAUCCUGGCUCAGAACGAACGCUGGCGGCGUGCUUAACACAUGCAAGUCGAACGCGAAAGGUUCUUUCGGGAACUGAGUAGAGUGGCGCACGGGUGAGUAACGCGUAAGUAAUCUACCCUGGUAUCUGGAAUAACUCAUCGAAAGGUGUGCUAAUACCGGAUACGUUUAUCUUGAUACGUUGGUUUACCAAGAAAGGAGGCCUCUGCAUAUGCUUCCGUACCAGGAUGAGCUUGCGUACCAUUAGCUAGUUGGUAGGGUAAUGGCCUACCAAGGCGACGAUGGUUAGCGGGUCUGAGAGGAUGAUCCGCCACACUGGAACUGAAACACGGACCAGACUCCUACGGGAGGCAGCAGUGAGGAAUAUUGCGCAAUGGGCGAAAGCCUGACGCAGCAACGCCGCGUGAGUGAUGAAGGCCUUCGGGUCGUAAAGCUCUGUCAGUGGGGAAGAACCGCCGGGUGGUUAAUACCCAUCGCGAUGAUUUGACGGUACAAUAAGAGGAAGCACCGGCUAACUCCGUGCCAGCAGCCGCGGUAAUACGGGGGGUGCAAGCGUUAUUCGGAAUUAUUGGGCGUAAAGGGCGCGUAGGCGGUCUUGUCCGUCAGGUGUGAAAGCUCGGGGCUCAACCCCGGAAGUGCACUUGAAACAGCAAGACUUGAAUACGGGAGAGGAAAGCGGAAUUCCUAGUGUAGGGGUGAAAUCCGUAGAUAUUAGGAGGAACACCGGUGGCGAAGGCGGCUAUCUGGACCGAUACUGACGCUGAGACGCGAAAGCGUGGGGAGCAAACAGGAUUAGAUACCCUGGUAGUCCACGCCGUAAACGAUGAGUACUAGGUGUCGGGGGUAUUGACCCCUGCAGUGCCGUAAGCUAACGCAAUAAGUACUCCGCCUGGGAAGUACGGCCGCAAGGCUAAAACUCAAAGGAAUUGACGGGGGCCCGCACAAGCGGUGGAGUAUGUGGUUUAAUUCGACGCAACGCGAAGAACCUUACCAAGGCUUGACAUCCCGUGACAGCCAUGGAAACAUGGUCUUGCAAGUUUACUUGCACACGGAGACAGGUGGUGCAUGGUUGUCGUCAGCUCGUGUCGUGAGAUGUUGGGUUAAGUCCCGCAACGAGCGCAACCCUUGUCCUUAGUUGCCAUCAUUAAGUUGGGCACUCUAAGGAGACUGCCGGUGUCAAACCGGAGGAAGGUGGGGAUGACGUCAAGUCCUCAUGGCCCUUAUGUCCAGGGCUACACACGUGCUACAAUGGCCGGUACAAAGGGUUGCAAAGCCGCGAGGUGGAGCCAAUCCCAAAAAGCCGGUCUCAGUUCGGAUUGGAGUCUGCAACUCGACUCCAUGAAGUUGGAAUCGCUAGUAAUCGCGGAUCAGCAUGCCGCGGUGAAUACGUUCCCGGGCCUUGUACACACCGCCCGUCACACCACGAAAGUCUGCAACACC